UACGGAGGGAGCUAGCGUUGUUCGGAAUUACUGGGCGUAAAGCGCACGUAGGCGGCUUUGUAAGUUAGAGGUGAAAGCCCGGAGCUCAACUCCGGAACUGCCUUUAAAACUGCAUCGCUUGAAUCCAGGAGAGGUGAGUGGAAUUCCGAGUGUAGAGGUGAAAUUCGUAGAUAUUCGGAAGAACACCAGUGGCGAAGGCGGCUCACUGGACUGGUAUUGACGCUGAGGUGCGAAAGCGUGGGGAGCAAACAGG
RNAcentral lists this ribosomal RNA (253 nucleotides) under uncultured bacterium. Its description in RNAcentral is "partial 16S ribosomal RNA". It matches the Rfam family "Bacterial small subunit ribosomal RNA", at positions 524 to 776 of the family's 1533-position model. The record is from RNAcentral.